This 503-nucleotide ribosomal RNA is filed under the name uncultured bacterium. Its description in RNAcentral is "partial 16S ribosomal RNA". It matches the Rfam family "Bacterial small subunit ribosomal RNA", at positions 29 to 507 of the family's 1533-position model. The record is from RNAcentral.
AGCGAACGCUGGCGGCGUGCCUAACACAUGCAAGUCGAACGAGAAAGGGGCUUCGGCUCCGAGUAAAGUGGCGCACGGGUGAGUAACACGUGGGUAACCUGCCUCUAAGAUUGGGAUAACUCGUCGAAAGAUGAGCUAAUACCGAAUAAGACCACAGUUCCCGCGGGAACAGGGGUCAAAGGUAGCCUCUGCUUGCAAGCUAUCACUUAGAGAUGGGCCUGCGCACCAUUAGCUAGUUGGUAGGGUAACGGCCUACCAAGGCAAAGAUGGUUAGCUGGUCUGAGAGGAUGAUCAGCCACACUGGAACUGAGACACGGUCCAGACUCCUACGGGAGGCAGCAGUGGGGAAUAUUGCGCAAUGGGCGAAAGCUUGACGCAGCAACGCCGCGUGAGUGAUGAAGGCCUUCGGGUCGUAAAGCUCUGUCGGGAGGAACGAAUGCUCCUGAGGUUAACAGCCUCGGGAGGUGACGGUACCUUCAAAGGAAGCACCGGCUAACUCUGUG